This 505-nucleotide ribosomal RNA is filed under the name uncultured microorganism. Its description in RNAcentral is "bacterial SSU rRNA". It matches the Rfam family "Bacterial small subunit ribosomal RNA", at positions 9 to 496 of the family's 1533-position model. The record is from RNAcentral.
GAGUUUGAUCGUGGCUCAGGAUGAACGCUGGCGGCGUGCCUAAUACAUGCAAGUCGAGCGAACGGACGAGAAGCUUGCUUCUCUGAUGUUAGCGGCGGACGGGUGAGUAACACGUGGGUAACCUACCUAUAAGACUGGGAUAACUCCGGGAAACCAGGGCUAAUACCGGAUAACACAUGAAACCGCAUGGUUUCAUGAUGAAAGACGGUCUUGCUGUCACUUAUAGAUGGAUCCGCGCUGCAUUAGCUAGUUGGUAAGGUAACGGCUUACCAAGGCAACGAUGCAUAGCCGACCUGAGAGGGUGAUCGGCCACACUGGAACUGAGACACGGUCCAGACUCCUACGGGAGGCAGCAGUAGGGCAUCUUCCGCAAUGGGCGAAAGCCUGACGGAGCAACGCCGCGUGAGUGAUGAAGGUCUUCGGAUCGUAAAACUCUGUUAUUAGGGAAGAACAUAUGUGUAAGUAACUGUGCACAUCUUGACGGUACCUAAUCAGAAAGCCACGG